RNAcentral lists this ribosomal RNA (842 nucleotides) under uncultured bacterium. RNAcentral describes it as "bacterial SSU rRNA". It matches the Rfam family "Bacterial small subunit ribosomal RNA", at positions 167 to 1041 of the family's 1533-position model. The record is from RNAcentral.
UACCGGAUAAGUCUUUACGGAGAAAGCUUUAUGCACCAUUGGAUGAGCCUGCACUUGAUUAGUUUGUUGGUGGGGUAAUGGCCUACCAAGACUGUGAUCGAUAGCUGAUUUGAGAGGAUGAUCAGCCACAUUGGGACUGAGACACGGCCCAAACUCCUACGGGAGGCAGCAGUGGGGAAUCUUGCACAAUGGAGGAAACUCUGAUGCAGCGAUGCCGCGUGAGUGAAGAAGGCCCUUGGGUUGUAAAGCUCUUUCGUCGGGGAAGAAAAUGACUGUACCCGAAUAAGAAGGUCCGGCUAACUUCGUGCCAGCAGCCGCGGUAAUACGAAGGGACCUAGCGUAGUUCGGAAUUACUGGGCUUAAAGAGUUCGUAGGUGGUUGAAAAAGUUAGUGGUGAAAUCCCAGAGCUUAACUCUGGAACUGCCAUUAAAACUUUUCAGCUAGAGUAUGAUAGAGGAAAGCAGAAUUUCUAGUGUAGAGGUGAAAUUCGUAGAUAUUAGAAAGAAUACCAAUUGCGAAGGCAGCUUUCUGGAUCAUUACUGACACUGAGGAACGAAAGCAUGGGUAGCGAAGAGGAUUAGAUACCCUCGUAGUCCAUGCCGUAAACGAUGUGUGUUAGACGUUGGAAAUUUAUUUUCAGUGUCGCAGCGAAAGCGAUAAACACACCGCCUGGGGAGUACGACCGCAAGGUUAAAACUCAAAUGAAUUGACGGGGACCCGCACAAGUAGUGGAGCAUGUGGUUUAAUUCGAAGAUACGCGCAGAACCUUACCAACACUUGACAUGUUCGUCGCGACUCUAAGAGAUUAGAGUUUUCGGUUCGGCCGGACGAAACACAGGUGC